This 472-nucleotide ribosomal RNA is filed under the name uncultured bacterium. Its description in RNAcentral is "partial 16S ribosomal RNA". It matches the Rfam family "Bacterial small subunit ribosomal RNA", at positions 30 to 507 of the family's 1533-position model. The record is from RNAcentral.
AGUGAACGCUGGCGGUAGGCCUAACACAUGCAAGUCGAACGGCAGCACAGUAAGAGCUUGCUCUUACGGGUGGCGAGUGGCUGACGGGUGAGGAAUACAUCGGAAUCUACUUUUUCGUGGGGGAUAACGUAGGGAAACUUACGCUAAUACCGCAUACGACCUACGGGUGAAAGCAGGGGAUCUUCGGACCUUGCGCGAUUGAAUGAGCCGAUGUCGGAUUAGCUAGUUGGCGGGGUAAAGGCCCACCAAGGCGACGAUCGGUAGCUGGCCUGAGAGGAUGAACGGCCACCAGGGGACUGAGGGACGGACCAGUGUGCUACGGGGGACAGCGGUGGGGAGUAUGACACAAUGGGAGGAAGCCUGAGACAGAAGCGCCGCGUGCGGGAUGACGGCCUUCGGGUUAUAAAACGCUUUCGCCUGUGACGAAGCGUGAGUGACGGUAAUGGGUAAAGAAGCACCGGCUAACUACGUG